This 667-nucleotide ribosomal RNA is filed under the name uncultured bacterium. Its description in RNAcentral is "bacterial SSU rRNA". It matches the Rfam family "Bacterial small subunit ribosomal RNA", at positions 73 to 719 of the family's 1533-position model. The record is from RNAcentral.
CCGGAGCUUGCUCCACCGGAAAAAGAGAAAUGGCGAACGGGUGAGUAACACGUGGGUAACCUGCCCAUCAGAAGGGGAUAACACUUGGAAACAGGUGCUAAUACCGUAUAACAAUCGAAACCGCAUGGUUUUGAUUUGAAAGGCGCUUUCGGGUGUCGCUGAUGGAUGGACCCGCGGUGCAUUAGCUAGUUGGUGAGGUAACGGCUCACCAAGGCCACGAUGCAUAGCCGACCUGAGAGGGUGAUCGGCCACAUUGGGACUGAGACACGGCCCAAACUCCUACGGGAGGCAGCAGUAGGGAAUCUUCGGCAAUGGACGAAAGUCUGACCGAGCAACGCCGCGUGAGUGAAGAAGGUUUUCGGAUCGUAAAACUCUGUUGUUAGAGAAGAACAAGGAUGAGAGUAACUGUUCAUCCCUUGACGGUAUCUAACCAGAAAGCCACGGCUAACUACGUGCCAGCAGCCGCGGUAAUACGUAGGUGGCAAGCGUUGUCCGGAUUUAUUGGGCGUAAAGCGAGCGCAGGCGGUUUCUUAAGUCUGAUGUGAAAGCCCCCGGCUCAACCGGGGAGGGUCAUUGGAAACUGGGAGACUUGAGUGCAGAAGAGGAGAGUGGAAUUCCAUGUGUAGCGGUGAAAUGCGUAGAUAUAUGGAGGAACACCAGUGGCGAA